AGAGGAUAGGGAGGUGGGAAUCCAGGAGGUUUGUAUCUUAUUUGCGUCCUGCUGGUCUCCUGGGCUAAAUGUUUUUUGUUUUAAUCAUCAGGUUCGGUCCCCCCCAGGGUCUGGUUGAUCGGACAUUCCUACAUCCACUGGGCAUGGCAGCGAAUGGCGAUCCGGCCUGGGGGGAGCUUCUCGGUUUCACGCCUUCAACUGCGGAGGUACGGUGGUUUGGCGCCAGAGGCAUGAGGUGGGUCCGGCUCCUCCCUGACUUGGUCACGCUCUCUCAUUUGCUAGGGGCACCGUCUGUGUU
Molecule: non-coding RNA, 298 nt
Organism: Pelobates cultripes (western spadefoot toad)
Lineage: Eukaryota; Metazoa; Chordata; Amphibia; Anura; Pelobatidae
Source: the annotation of a GenBank genome assembly